RNAcentral lists this non-coding RNA (23 nucleotides) under Arabidopsis thaliana (thale cress). The record is from RNAcentral. Lineage: Eukaryota; Viridiplantae; Streptophyta; Magnoliopsida; Brassicales; Brassicaceae.
UCGUAGAUGAGAGGAUCGCCUCA